This 491-nucleotide ribosomal RNA is filed under the name uncultured bacterium. RNAcentral describes it as "partial 16S ribosomal RNA". It matches the Rfam family "Bacterial small subunit ribosomal RNA", at positions 29 to 507 of the family's 1533-position model. The record is from RNAcentral.
GUGAACGCUGGCGGUAGGCCUAACACCUGCCAGUCGCACGGCAGCACAGUAAGAGCUUGCUCUUACGGGUGGCGAGUGGCGGACGGGUGAGGAAUACAUCGGAAUCUACUUUUUCGUGGGGGAUAACGUAGGGAAACUUACGCUAAUACCGCAUACGACCUACGGGUGAAAGCAGGGGAUCUUCGGACCUUGCGCGAUUGAAUGAGCCGAUGUCGGAUUAGCUAGUUGGCGGGGUAAAGGCCCACCAAGGCGACGAUCCGUAGCUGGUCUGAGAGGAUGAUCGGCCACACUGGAACUGAGACACGGUCCAGACUCCUACGGGAGGCAGCAGUGGGGAAUAUUGGACAAUGGGCGCAAGCCUGAUCCAGCCAUACCGCGUGGGUGAAGAAGGCCUUCGGGUUGUAAAGCCCUUUUGUUGGGAAAGAAAAGCAGCAGGUUAAUACCCCGCUGUUCUGACGGUACCCAAAGAAUAAGCACCGGCUAACUUCGUG